GUAUUACUAGAUGGUCACACAACAGACUAUUUGUUUCUUGGAAAUUUCAUUUAUACAUAUGUGAUAGUUACUGUUUGUCUGAAAGCUGGUUUGGAGACAAUGUCUUGGAAUAAAUUUAGUCAUAUAGCAAUUUGGGGAAGCAUAAUAAUAUGGCUGGCAUUUUUUGCAAUUUACUGUUUCAUUUGGCCCACCAUUCCUCUUGCUUCCGAUAUGACAUGACAGGUUAGUUUUACUG
Talpa occidentalis (Iberian mole) is the source of this 235-nucleotide long non-coding RNA. RefSeq lists it as uncharacterized. The transcript is spliced from 3 exons. The record is from RefSeq and is a predicted model, not a curated record. NCBI's taxonomy places the organism in Eukaryota, Metazoa, Chordata, Mammalia, Eulipotyphla, Talpidae.